UGGGGAAUAUUGGACAAUGGGCGCAAGCCUGAUCCAGCAAUGCCGCGUGAGUGAUGAAGGCCUUAGGGUUGUAAAGCUCUUUCGCACGCGACGAUGAUGACGGUAGCGUGAGAAGAAGCCCCGGCUAACUUCGUGCCAGCAGCCGCGGUAAUACGAAGGGGGCUAGCGUUGUUCGGAAUUACUGGGCGUAAAGGGCGCGCAGGCGGCCUGCCAAGUCAGAUGUGAAAGCCCCGGGCUCAACCUGGGAUGUGCAUUUGAGACUGGCUGGCUUGAGAUCGGGAGAGGAGAGUGGAAUUCCCAGUGUAGAGGUGAAAUUCGUAGAUAUUGGGAAGAACACCGGUGGCGAAGGCGGCUCUCUGGACCGAUACUGACGCUGAGGCGCGAAAGCGUGGGGAGCAAACAGGAUUAGAUACCCUGGUAGUCCACGCCGUAAACGAUGUGUGCUAGACGUUGGGGAGCCUAGCUUUCCGGUGUCGCAGCUAACGCGGUAAGCAC
Molecule: ribosomal RNA, 495 nt
Filed under: uncultured bacterium
Lineage: Bacteria
Description: bacterial SSU rRNA
Rfam family: Bacterial small subunit ribosomal RNA
Source: RNAcentral